AUUGAACGCUGGCGGCAUGCCUUACACAUGCAAGUCGAACGGCAGCACGGGAGCAAUCCUGGUGGCGAGUGGCGAACGGGUGAGUAAAGUAUCGGAACGUGCCCAGUCGUGGGGGAUAACGUAGCGAACGUUAUGCUAAUACCCAAUACGAUCCAUGGACGAAAGACGGGGAUCGCAAGACCUCGCCCGAUUGGAGCGGCCGAUAUCAGAUGAGGGAGUUGGUGGGGUAAAGGCUCACCAAGCCGACGAUCUGUAGCUGGUCUGAGAGGACGACAGCCACACUGGGACGGAGACACGGCCCAGACUCCUACGGGAGGCAGCAGUGGGGAAUUUUGGACAAUGGGCGAAAGCCUGAUCCAGCCAUGCCGCGUGCAGGAUGAAGGCCUUCGGGUUGUAAACUGCUUUUGUACGGAACGAAAAGGUUUGGCCUAAUAAGCUGAGCUCAUGACGGUACCGUAAGAAUAAGCACCGGCUAACUACGUGCCAGCCGCCGCGGUAA
RNAcentral lists this ribosomal RNA (499 nucleotides) under uncultured bacterium. RNAcentral describes it as "partial 16S ribosomal RNA". It matches the Rfam family "Bacterial small subunit ribosomal RNA", at positions 29 to 523 of the family's 1533-position model. The record is from RNAcentral.